Molecule: long non-coding RNA, 1803 nt
Organism: Vombatus ursinus (common wombat)
Lineage: Eukaryota; Metazoa; Chordata; Mammalia; Diprotodontia; Vombatidae
Exons: 3
Source: RefSeq, a predicted model, not a curated record
CCAGUCACUUUGCAAAGUGUCCAGUGCAAAGAAACUGCGAGAAAGGCUCCAGGUCAGGAUUUCUGCUAGUCAGAAACUUCGUUUAUGUGUUUGUCUCCCUUUGUGUAAGCCACCUGGCUUAAUCGGGAUAAGAAGAAAGCCCUUGACAAAAAUGAACUGAAGCCUCAUGCCUUAAGGGACUCAGAAUUAGGGAGAUUUGGAUUCAGAAUCCUGCCUCAGACUUGUGCUGGCUGUGUGACCCUGGGUCUCCAGAGAGAACAUCGCCUUCCAGCCCCUGGCAAAAGAAAAGAGGAUGCCUUCCAGUUGGAGAGGAGAGAUGGGAAUGGGCCCAAAUCUAGCGGGCACCAGCGAGAAGAGGCCAGCUGCUGACCCAGAGCAGCUCGACCUUUUGUGGGCAUUUGGAGGAGAAACAUUGACUCAAUAUGACCGGCCAUCCUUUGUGGACUUGGUUUCCCCCUUCUGCUAAUCACCAGUCUCUUGCACGAGGUGAAGAAACUGAGGCCUGGAGAUGUGAAAUGCCUUCGAACAUCAGAGAGCUAAAGCUGGAAGGGAGCUCCUGGGACACCUAGUCCAGACUCUUUAUUUUACAUACAAAGUUCAGCAAUCCCAAAGAAUACAGUGAGCACAUCUGACCGUGUAUAUACCAUUCUGUGCAUGGAGCCCCCCCGCUUCUCUACAGAAAGGAGGGAUGUGUGUUUCUUCAUCUGGUUCAUGGACUUCAAUGGAAUUUAAUUUAAUUUGAACACCCAAAGAGACCACAGAAUUCUAGACUGAAAGCUGGAAAGGGCCUUAGGUCAUCUAGUCCAAUGCUGUCAGGAGAACUGAGGCACAGAAAGGGAGAUCCGAGGCAGGAUUCAAAGCCGGGGUAUCCUGGCUUCCAAGUCCACCUGCAUUCGAUUAAGGCCUAAGGCUCCCAAUGGCUUUGUCUGAUCUCUCCAAACUCCUGGUUCACUGGUGGUGGAGUAGGGGGGAAGUUUGCUAGAAAGAGGACCUGGGUUCUAGUUCAGCUUUGUCACUUCCUGGCUGUGUGAUUUUGGCCAAGCCACUUCCCCUUUCUGGGCCUCAGUUUCCCCUUCUGUAAAAUUAAGGUGUUGGGCUAGUUGGAUCUUCCCGGUCCUUUGCAGCUCUUAAUCUGAUAUCCUCCCCCACCCCUGGUUUCUCCUCUUUGCUCCUUUGUCUUCACCAGCUUUCAUUUUUUUGAAACCAAGUGACUCAUAGGAAGGAUGUCUCUGCCUCAUUGGUCAGGGCCGGCAGGUGUGGGGGCUGCCUGGAGGGUGGGUCCACCUGAGCACUGAGCAGGCAGGUGUCUUUUGUUGUCUGGCUCUGUGUAGCAGCACCUCCAGCAGGGAGGCGGGCAGGCGGGCCAGGGCUGGCGCUCAGCUUGGCGCUUGGCAGCUCUGCCCGUCCCAGAGGCCGGCGAAUGAGUCCGACAGGUCAGACGGGUGGAAGCUGACGGCAUCUCUGCUGCGGGCUCCCGGCCGAGGACCUCAGCUAAAGUGCAGGUAAAAAUCUCUCUAUCUCUCUUGAGAGAGCCUUCCUUCAGUACUGAGGGGAGGAGGCCGAGAAUAAGGUUCGGGGAAGAAGGAAGGGUCACAUUCUUCAAAGAAUUUGACUCCUGGGGAGGGGGGGAAAAGUGAGAUGAGGGAGGCAUUUCUGUCCUUUCAAGGCCUGAGGGAAAACGAGGGUUUAUUCCUGGACCUGGUUGCUCAGUGGAGGCCAGUUGGUGAGGCCAAAUCCUGUCACCAGGAGAUCUUUUUUUUAACCCCCUGAAAAUAAAAACCCUCAGGAAAGUAAUUCAAGGGC